RNAcentral lists this ribosomal RNA (505 nucleotides) under uncultured bacterium. Its description in RNAcentral is "partial 16S ribosomal RNA". It matches the Rfam family "Bacterial small subunit ribosomal RNA", at positions 28 to 507 of the family's 1533-position model. The record is from RNAcentral.
GACGAACGCUGGCGGCGUGCCUAAUACAUGCAAGUAGAACGCACAGUUUAUACCGUAGCUUGCUACACCAUAGACUGUGAGUUGCGAACGGGUGAGUAACGCGUAGGUAACCUGCCUGGUAGCGGGGGAUAACUAUUGGAAACGAUAGCUAAUACCGCAUAAUAUUGAUUAUUGCAUGAUAAUUGAUUGAAAGAUGCUAUUGCAUCACUACCAGAUGGACCUGCGUUGUAUUAGCUAGUAGGUGAGGUAACGGCUCACCUAGGCGACGAUACAUAGCCGACCUGAGAGGGUGAUCGGCCACACUGGGACUGAGACACGGCCCAGACUCCUACGGGAGGCAGCAGUAGGGAAUCUUCGGCAAUGGACGAAAGUCUGACCGAGCAACGCCGCGUGAGUGAAGAAGGUUUUCGGAUCAUAAAGCUCUGUUGUAAGAGAAGAACGGGUGUGAGAGUGGAAAGUUCACACUGUGACGGUAUCUUACCAGAAAGGGACGGCUAACUACGUG